Molecule: transfer RNA, 61 nt
Filed under: bacterium
Lineage: Bacteria
Also listed under: 1 other name
Description: tRNA-Val
Rfam family: tRNA
About the family: Transfer RNA (tRNA) molecules are approximately 80 nucleotides in length.
Source: RNAcentral
GUUAGCUCAGUGGUAGAGCGUCUCCCUUACAAGGAGGAGGUCGCAGGUUCAAGUCCUGCAC